AUCUGUGUGUAUGAGUGGUUUUGAGUGCAUUCUUCUACAUGCUCGGGUACACAUUGUUGAAGUCAAGACAACCUCAGGUGCUCGUCCCUGCCUUCUACGCUGUUUAAACAGGGUCUCUUGUUCAUGUUCCAGAGAGCUGGGCUAGCUGGCCUUCAAGCUCUUAGGAUCCUGGUUUUCGAGCCCUACCUUGCUGUAGAAGUACUGGGACUACAUUGCUACCGUGUCUACCUUUUUUUGGUUUGGGGAGAAAGGCUCAGGCUGUCCUGGAACUCAUGACAAAUCUCCUGCUUCAGCCUCCUAAAUUCAGGAAUUUUAGUAAAUUUACCAUUCUUAGAAAAGUAUUCUCAUAAAGAAUGCAGUUCAGCUGGGCAUGGUAGCACUUAGCAAAUCCCACUAUUUAAAUAGAGGCUGAGGUAGGAAGAUCAUGAUUUGAAGGCCAGCCUAAGUUAUGUAGACCAUGUCUCAAAAGCCAAAAACGUAACAAAAAGUGCAUCUGAUUUUGUGGUUUGCAGAGGGUUGGAUGUUUUAGCUAAGAAUUGUUUAGUAGAGGACUAGGAUUUCCCUAGUGGGCACUGUAUGUAUUUGUGGGAAAUUACACAUUUUAUGUUUUGCCAGAGUGGCCUAGUAAGGUACAGUUAUAGAAAUCCAAAACUAGAGAAAAUGGUAAUUAAACUCUGUACACUACCUUUUCUGGGUAUGUGUCUUAGUGAUUUCUGUUUUCUGGAUAUUUUGUUCUGACUAAAUAAAGGUAAAUGAGAUGAACCUUUGGACAUAGCAUCCCGAAUGCCUUCUGCAUGAGUUUUGAUAUUUUUAUGUCUGGUUGAACUUUAUUUUUCAGAAUCUGAAUGGUGACAAAAAAGACAAUUAAAGAUCAUGAUGCCUUAAUUUGGAGUAUUACUAGGGGUUCUCUAGAGUCACAGAACUAUGGAAUGACUCAGUAGUUGAUCAGUCCUGCGAGGCUGGAUGGCUCAUCUGGUAUCUAUAUAUACUGGAAUCCCAAAUAAGUAGGCUUUGAUGCCAGUGAAAGAAUGGACGUGUUAGCAAGGUGAAGGACAAGCAGGCUAGGAGCAAACGCUUCCUUCUGUGUUCUUGUCUAGACUUCCAGCAGAAGCUAUGGUCCAUUUUAAAGGUGUUUUUCUGCCUUCAAGUUUGGAAUAAAAGUAUGUGUCUUCCCACC
RNAcentral lists this long non-coding RNA (1177 nucleotides) under Mus musculus (house mouse). Its description in RNAcentral is "long non-coding RNA chr12:55114186-55115363". Lineage: Eukaryota; Metazoa; Chordata; Mammalia; Rodentia; Muridae. The record is from RNAcentral.